GACGAACGCUGGCGGCGUGCUUAACACAUGCAAGUCGAACGGAAAGGCCCUGCUUUUGUGGGGUGCUCGAGUGGCGAACGGGUGAGUAACACGUGAGUAACCUGCCCUUGACUUUGGGAUAACUUCAGGAAACUGGGGCUAAUACCGGAUAGGAGCUCCUGCUGCAUGGUGGGGGUUGGAAAGUUUCGGCGGUUGGGGAUGGACUCGCGGCUUAUCAGCUUGUUGGUGGGGUAGUGGCUUACCAAGGCUUUGACGGGUAGCCGGCCUGAGAGGGUGACCGGCCACAUUGGGACUGAGGUACGGCCCAGACUCCUACGGGAGGCAGCAGUGGGGAAUAUUGCACAGUGGGCGGAAGCCUGAUGCAGCAACGCCGCGUGCGGGAUGACGUCCUUCGGGUUGUAAACCGCUUUCGCCUGUGACGAAGCGUGAGUGACGGUAAUGGGUAAAGAAGCACCGGCUAACUACGUG
This 468-nucleotide ribosomal RNA is filed under the name uncultured bacterium. Its description in RNAcentral is "partial 16S ribosomal RNA". It matches the Rfam family "Bacterial small subunit ribosomal RNA", at positions 28 to 507 of the family's 1533-position model. The record is from RNAcentral.